GAUGAACGCUGGCGGCGCGCCUAACACAUGCAAGUCGAACGAUUAAAGCACCUUCGGGUGUGUAUAAAGUGGCGAACGGCUGAGUAACACGUGGGCAACCUGCCCCUUUCAUUGGGAUAGCCACGGGAAACCGUGGAUAAUACCGAAUACUUCGAGACUUCCGCAUGGAAGACUCGAGAAAGCUCCGGCGGAGAGGGAUGGGCCCGCGGCCUGUUAGCUUGUUGGGGGGGUAACGGCCUACCAAGGCAAUGAUGGGUAGCUGGGUUGAGAGACCGACCAGCCAGAUUGGGACUGAGACACGGCCCAGACUCCUACGGGAGGCAGCAGUGGGGAGUCUUGCACAAUGGGCGAAAGCCUGAUGCAGCGACGCCGCGUGCGGGAUGAAGGCCUUCGGGUUGUAAACCGCUUUCAGCAGGGACGAGGCGAAAGUGACGGUACCUGCAGAAGAAGCCCCGGCUAACUACGUG
RNAcentral lists this ribosomal RNA (467 nucleotides) under uncultured bacterium. RNAcentral's name for it is "partial 16S ribosomal RNA". It matches the Rfam family "Bacterial small subunit ribosomal RNA", at positions 28 to 507 of the family's 1533-position model. The record is from RNAcentral.